UCUAAUAUGGCAGAUUAGUGCAAUGAAUUUAAGCUUCAUUUAUAAAGGCUGCCCUUUUUUUAGAA
Molecule: transfer RNA, 65 nt
Filed under: Tanytarsus gracilentus
Lineage: Eukaryota; Metazoa; Arthropoda; Insecta; Diptera; Chironomidae
Description: tRNA-Leu
Source: RNAcentral